CCGAAGCGUUAUCCGGAUUUAUUGCUGUUUAAAGGGAGCGUAGAUGGAUGUUUAAGUCAGUUGUGAAAGUUUGCGGCUCAACCGUAAAAUUGCAGUUGAUACUGGAUAUCUUGAGUGCAGUUGAGGCAGGCGGAAUUCGUGGUGUAGCGGUGAAAUGCUUAGAUAUCACGAAGAACUCCGAUUGCGAAGGCAGCCUGCUAAGCUGCAACUGACAUUGAGGCUCGAAAGUGUGGGUAUCAAACAGGAUUAGAUACCCUGGUAGUCCACACGGUAAACGAUGAAUACUCGCUGUUUGCGAUAUACUGCAAGCGGCCAAGCGAAAGCGUUAAGUAUUCCACCUGGGGAGUACGCCGGCAACGGUGAAACUCAAAGGAAUUGACGGGGGCCCGCACAAGCGGAGGAACAUGUGGUUUAAUUCGAUGAUACGCGAGGAACCUUACCCGGGCUUAAAUUGCAGAUGAAUUACGGUGAAAGCCGUAAGCCGCAAGGCAUCUGUGAAGGUGCUGCAUGGUUGUCGUCAGCUCGUGCCGUGAGGUGUCGGCUUAAGUGCCAUAACGAGCGCAACCCUUGUUGUCAGUUACUAACAGGUUCCGCUGAGGACUCUGACAAGACUGCCAUCGUAAGAUGUGAGGAAGGUGGGGAUGACGUCAAAUCAGCACGGCCCUUACGUCCGGGGCUACACACGUGUUACAAUGGGGGGUACAGAGGGCCGCUACCACGCGAGUGGAUGCCAAUCCCAAAAACCUCUCUCAGUUCGGACUGGAGUCUGCAACCCGACUCCACGAAGCUGGAUUCGCUAGUAAUCGCGCAUCAGCCACGGCGCGGUGAAUACGUUCCCGGGCCUUGCACACACCGCCCGU
RNAcentral lists this ribosomal RNA (860 nucleotides) under uncultured bacterium. RNAcentral's name for it is "bacterial SSU rRNA". It matches the Rfam family "Bacterial small subunit ribosomal RNA", at positions 533 to 1397 of the family's 1533-position model. The record is from RNAcentral.